AUCCAUUCACUAUUUUUCUCUGGUAUCUCCGCCUUCAACUCUUCUCUACUUCCAUCACCACCACAGACAAUAGAUCAGCAUCCUCCACUUCCAUCACCACCACAACAAUACCUUCUCCUUCAUCUUCUCGAUUGAUUUAGUUUGUAUGCUUAUAAUCAACGAAACGCACAAAAACCCGAGUAUACAAAUCUGUAUUUUUUUCUCACUUCAGAAAUUGAAACUCACUGUUAGAAAUCAAAGCUUUAUCUGAACCCAUGUCUGAAAACCAAAACCCAUGUAUCAGAAGAAAUCAAGAGGAAGCUUUCUAACCCUAGAUUUAGUAUUUAGUUGUUCUUGAAAUCAUCUGGCUAAUAUCAAUUGCUCUUGAAAUCAUCAGGUGAGCUGUUUAUUUUUCUAUUUUGUCUUACAAGAAAACUCAAAAAGGAGGUAGAAGAUCUCUUCUCCUAUUGUUCUGGAACUCCGCAAAGAAGGACUCAACCUCAUCAUAGAAAGGGUAUCCUACACCAGCAAAAUUGAUUAUCCAAAGUCAAAUUCAAGGCUUAUAACUGCCAUAAUAUUGCAAGGAUACUAGCUCAAAUCAAGGAUUGUGUGUUUGGAUUUCUCUUUCUCAAUGGAUUUCAAUUAUUCAAUUUCAUGAAAUUGUGGAAGUGUAUAUUGCUGAUUUAGGCAAAGACAUAAAUUUAGGGAUCUACAAGAGAUUUUCUUUGAUCCAAGAUUUUAGUUCUUUUUAUAAGGAGCCUUGACCUUGAAACAUUAUCUAUUAAAUAUGUGGCCCUAACUGCAGAGAUAUUUUUUUUUUGCAGCUUAAGGCUAGAGGGAAGUAGAUGGAGUUAUGCAAAGGCUUGCAGAGAUACAAACUAGCAGGAUAUUGGCUAUACGCUGAUCAAUAAAUGAAACAAAACUAUUGUAGUUUCCUUAUGAAACGGUCUUGCCACCACCAUGGGACAAGAGUUGUUGGAUGUUCUUGACAGCGAUCCGAUUAUGGCAAUCAAAUCUUUAAAGUUUGGAGGCCUCCAAGGUACAUGAAUGGUGACUGCUUCGUCAGCAAAACAUAGCCAAUGAUACAAGGAGUCUGUAGAUUAAUGUGGGAUCUUCAGCAAAUGAUGUAAUAAAGAGCUGCGAGCUAAUGUGUUGGGAAAAAUAGAGUCAGUUAGCAUCGGGGAGGAAGACACCCUCUUAAUUGUGAGCUAUCAAGUAAGGUUGUCAUCUUUUUGUAAUUAACUUACUCAAUUACAUGGGAAUAAUAAUACUAAUUGUACGAAAGUACUUGAGGUGUUACUCGACAUGGUUUUAGGAGUUACUCGAGAUGGUUUGUUGAUGAGAAUGAAGAAAUCUCAGUUGCAGGAUGUUAUUAAAUUAUCUUACAAGGUGUAUUUCUCUGUAUACAAGUAUCUCUGAAUAAUGACAUGGCUAGUUUCAUGCACAGAAGCUUCAGAACUCUAAUUUGAUGUUUAAUCAAAUGUCUACUUGUUCACCAUUUUGUUAUUCAAUCUUAGAACUUACUAGCUAGCUAGAACUUAUAUAUUGUUUUGAACUCGGGAUUUCAAUCCUCGUCUGUUUAAAUUUAAACCUAAUGAAUACAAUGAACGAAUGUUGAAUUU
Long non-coding RNA from Papaver somniferum (opium poppy), 1601 nucleotides. RefSeq lists it as uncharacterized. The record is from RefSeq and is a predicted model, not a curated record. The transcript has 7 exons. NCBI's taxonomy places the organism in Eukaryota, Viridiplantae, Streptophyta, Magnoliopsida, Ranunculales, Papaveraceae.